Long non-coding RNA from Psammomys obesus (fat sand rat), 454 nucleotides. RefSeq lists it as uncharacterized. The transcript has 3 exons. The record is from RefSeq and is a predicted model, not a curated record. Lineage: Eukaryota; Metazoa; Chordata; Mammalia; Rodentia; Muridae.
CCUCCUUUAAGAUACCUCACUCGGGAUGACCUUUUCUAGUUCCCGCAUUUGCCUGCAAUUUUCAUGCAACACACUUCUAAAGGAGCUCCUACGGAGAAGAGACUGAGAAUAGAGGAGACUGCAGAAUGAGUCUUCAAAAUUUGAGGGUGAACUCUCCCCUCUUGCAAGAAGAGGAGCAGGAACUCGCUGCAAUGGAAUGAAGCCACCACCAGAGGGUAGUGAAGGACCAGGAUCCUGAGAUCCCAUCCUGUUCCAGCUUCAUUUCAAAGAUCUGGGAGAACCUUGCCCAACCAUGGUGUUGUGUUGCAAGAAUCAGAGCUUCUGAUGGCUGUAAGGUGAAACCUCAGGGUUGUUUUGAUUUGCAUCUCCCUGAUAGCUAAGGAUGUUGAGCAUCUCUUUAACUGUAUCUCUGUCAUUCUAUAUUCCUCUACAGAGAAUUCUCUGUUUAGCUCCU